Molecule: ribosomal RNA, 253 nt
Filed under: uncultured bacterium
Lineage: Bacteria
Description: partial 16S ribosomal RNA
Rfam family: Bacterial small subunit ribosomal RNA
Source: RNAcentral
UACGGGGGGGGCAAGCGUUGUUCGGAAUUACUGGGCGUAAAGGGCGCGUAGGCGGCCGAUCAAGUCGGGGGUGAAAGCCUGUGGCUCAACCACAGAAUUGCCUUCGAUACUGUUUGGCUUGAGACCGGAAGAGGUUAGUGGAACUGCGAGUGUAGAGGUGAAAUUCGUAGAUAUUCGCAAGAACACCAGUGGCGAAGGCGGCUGACUGGUCCGGUUCUGACGCUGAGGCGCGAAAGCGUGGGGAGCAAACAGG